Molecule: long non-coding RNA, 416 nt
Organism: Drosophila albomicans
Lineage: Eukaryota; Metazoa; Arthropoda; Insecta; Diptera; Drosophilidae
Exons: 2
Source: RefSeq, a predicted model, not a curated record
AGCACAUAUGAAACGUGGAUUCUUUGUCAAUUUAUAUGAAUUUAUUAAAUGGAUUUUCGAUGUGAUCAAUGGAAAAAUCAAUGCGAUCGGAUAGAUUAUGGAAACUGGGUUAAAUUUCAAGUACUUGAAGAAAUCAACGCUAUAAUUUCAUAAAAACAUUAAUUUCUAUUUGAUAGCCAAUAUUCACAUCGAUUUAGUUUAAAAUAUAUCAUCUAACCACACAGAACUUACAGACAAAGAGAGAGUGAAGAUCAAGUGUGACCAUACGAAAAAGUAAAGGAUAACUGAAACUUAAUUCGGUCACUUUUGUUAUGCAUAUUAUGGCCACACUUACAACAAUUUCAAAUCAAGUUCAUGUAUACGUAUUCAGUGUUGGUAAAUAAAGAAUUCAACUACGUAGAAUUCUGCAAUAAAAA